CCUACGGGGGGCUGCAGUGGGGAAUAUUGGACAAUGGGGGCAACCCUGAUCCAGCCAUGCCGCGUGUGUGAAGAAGGCCCUCGGGUUGUAAAGCACUUUCAGUGAGGAAGAACGCCUGGUGGUUAAUACCCAUCAGGAAAGACAUCACUCACAGAAGAAGCACCGGCUAACUCCGUGCCAGCAGCCGCGGUAAUACGGAGGGUGCGAGCGUUAAUCGGAAUUACUGGGCGUAAAGCGCGCGUAGGUGGCUUGAUAAGCCGGUUGUGAAAGCCCCGGGCUCAACCUGGGAAUGGCAUCCGGAACUGUCAAGCUAGAGUGCAGGAGAGGAAGGUAGAAUUCCCGGUGUAGCGGUGAAAUGCGUAGAGAUCGGGAGGAAUACCAGUGGCGAAGGCGGCCUUCUGGACUGACACUGACACUGAGGUGCGAAAGCGUGGGUAGCAAACAGGAUUAGAUACCCCAGUAGUC
RNAcentral lists this ribosomal RNA (465 nucleotides) under Vreelandella stevensii. RNAcentral describes it as "partial 16S ribosomal RNA". It matches the Rfam family "Bacterial small subunit ribosomal RNA", at positions 338 to 795 of the family's 1533-position model. The record is from RNAcentral. Lineage: Bacteria; Pseudomonadati; Pseudomonadota; Gammaproteobacteria; Oceanospirillales; Halomonadaceae.